AGGGGUAUAGCUCAGUUUGGUAGAGCAGCGGUCUCCAAAACCGCGUGUCGUGGGUUCGACUCCUACUGCCCCUG
Molecule: transfer RNA, 74 nt
Filed under: [Clostridium] cellulosi
Lineage: Bacteria; Bacillati; Bacillota; Clostridia; Eubacteriales; Oscillospiraceae
Description: Clostridium cellulosi tRNA
Rfam family: tRNA
About the family: Transfer RNA (tRNA) molecules are approximately 80 nucleotides in length. Their secondary structure includes four short double-helical elements and three loops (D, anti-codon, and T loops).
Source: Rfam by way of RNAcentral